Molecule: ribosomal RNA, 503 nt
Filed under: uncultured bacterium
Lineage: Bacteria
Description: partial 16S ribosomal RNA
Rfam family: Bacterial small subunit ribosomal RNA
Source: RNAcentral
AUUGAACGCUGGCGGCAGGCUUAACACAUGCGAGUCGAGCGGGGUGAUGGUGCUUGCACUAUCACUUAGCGGCGGACGGGUGAGUAAUGCUUAGGAAUCUGCCUAUUAGUGGGGGACAACAUCUCGAAAGGGAUGCUAAUACCGCAUACGUCCUACGGGAGAAAGCAGGGGAUCACUUGUGACCUUGCGCUAAUAGAUGAGCCUAAGCCGGAUUAGCUAGUUGGUGGGGUAAAGGCCUACCAAGGCGACGAUCUGUAGCGGGUCUGAGAGGAUGAUCCGCCAAACUGGGACGGAGACACGGCCCAGACUCCUACGGGAGGCAGCAGUGGGGAAUAUUGGACAAUGGGGGGAACCCUGAUCCAGCCAUGCCGCGUGUGUGAAGAAGGCCUUAUGGUUGUAAAGCACUUUAAGCGAGGAGGAGGCUCUUUUGGUUAAUACCCAAGAUGAGUGGACGUUACUCGCAGAAUAAGCACCGGCUAACUCUGUGCCAGCAGCCGCCGUAA